AUGAAGGUCUCCUGUGCUUACAGCAGGUUCACUCUGACGUUUCUCCUCUACAGCAAAUUUCUCCGUAAAAGCGUUAAACCUUGAGCACUUCUGUUAUUUGGAUGCUAUGGUAUUUAGACUUCCAGAUAAAUGAUCUGCUACUGUUAGCUUCUAUGGAAACCCAACCUAAGAAACCACUCAAAUGUCUCAAUAGUUAUUGGUGGAGUCAAACAGAUGUCCUUUCUCAGGUAUUUAAAUUAUACAUUGCUGAUUUAUCAAGAAUGCAAGAAAGAUCCUCAGAAGGCAAAAUAAAGAGCAACAAGGAUUGGAUCAUGAAUCCAGAGAGAUAUAAGGGAUCUGAAGCCUACUUCUUUCUUGAGUACCCAUUAAUCUUUGGUGACAUGGAGAUUUAGUUCUAAAAAGCAGUGAACAUGGUAGACAAGAAAUAAUGCAGGACCAAGGAAGGCAAGAUAUCAUAUUGGACUUUACAUAUAGUAGAAAUUUAAAAAUCGCAAUAUUCUCUGUGAGUAAACUAGAAAAUAAUCUACCCCACAGAGGAAAACAUUGAGGAAAAUUGUCCGUCUCAGUCUUGGCCAUAAAUGGAGGCAAAAAUGAAGUCAUUCUUGAUAAUAAAGACUAUACAGCCAUCCUUGAAGGGGUUUAGUGACAGAAUUUAUAGAAUCUGAAUGGUCACAAGUAGACAUUUUCUUUCAAAUUAGUCCUAGAUCAGUGGUGCCCCCCGACAUUUAGCAGAAACUAAGACAAAUCCCUCUUAGGAAAUUCAACUUUAUCUUAAGCCUCAAAAAAAAUCCCACUAAUAAAAUUUCAAGAAACAUAAACCCAUACUACAUUAUAAUGAAACAUGAAAUAUAAGUUAUUCUUUGACAAAUGUCAACAUAAGAAAUUUCAGGAUAAGACUCACAAAAGCUUUGCCUAUAAAAAAAUAUUGAUACAGAAUGUAAAUCAACGUGUUUAAUAUAUUUCAAGAAAAAAGAAAAUAUACUCAAAGAAGAGUCUAAAAUAUUGAGUCAUGAAAGAAUCAAUAAGAAAUUUUACAAACACAAAAACUGAAAAAAUUUUCGACCACCACAGUGUGUGAAUUAAAUAGCAGAUUAGACAGAACUAAAUAAAUAAUUAGUAAUUUGGAAGAACUUACCAAAAAAUACAGCAUAGAAAGCUAAAAGAGAUAAAGUAUGUAAUAAAGAUGAACAAAGAGCAGAGUGAGGUCUAACAAAUAAAUACCUCCAAUAUUGAAAGAUGAAUAGGAAAAUGGAGAUCUAAACAUAUUUCCAAAAUGAUUGAAGACAUGAAUUGUUGGAUUCAAAGGAUGCUCACUUUUCCCAGUACUGAACUACAAUUUCUAGCCAGAGCAAUUAGGCAAGGGGGAAGAAAAGGCAUACAAAUUGGAAAGAAGUAAAACUAUUCCAAUUUGCAGAUAACAGGAUCUUCUAUAUUGAAGAUCCAUAAAAGAACUAAUAGAGCUAAUAAACUAAUUAAGCAAAGUCACAGGAUAAGAUCCACACUUAAAAAUCAGUUGUAUUGCUAUAUACCAUCAGUAAACACUCUGAAAAGGAAAUUAAGAAAACAACUCCAUUUAUAAUAGCAUCCAAACAACAAAAAUAGCUCAAAGUAAAUUAAACCAAGGACAUCAAAGACUUGUACCUUGAUAAGUAUAAAAAAAGAAAUAAAAGGCCAAAAUAAAUGGAAAGACAUCCGUGUUCAUGCACUGGAAAACAAUAUUGU
Molecule: non-coding RNA, 1722 nt
Organism: Manis javanica (Malayan pangolin)
Lineage: Eukaryota; Metazoa; Chordata; Mammalia; Pholidota; Manidae
Source: RefSeq, a predicted model, not a curated record